UACGUUUAGUUGUAAUUAUGUGUUUUGUGUUAAUGCAUCAUUUAUACUGGGGGUCUUUUAUUUUGACACGGUGGGGGUUUUGAGUUGUUUGCUGUGGUGUGAUUGCAGCUCUCUGUGUGGUGUGUGGAUUGUUCCUGCUUGCAAACUGGAUUAAAACGACGUUGAUAGUCCAGUCAGUUGCUCUAGUGUGAUUUUUUUUUGUUAGAUACAUCCUUUGGUACAAAGCAAGAGUUUAUUAUAAACUCCCACGCUUUACAAUAGAGUUAGAACUGGAGAGCAGCUGCACACUAGCCUGAGGUCACCACCUCUAGUGCCAAGCAUCCACAGUAAAGGAAAACCCCUGCAUUAAACUGAGUUCUCUGGAGUGAUAAAACACUAUAUUAUAGGCAGGGGUUGGAGGAGCGUUUGUGAUCCUGAACUUAUCAUUAGAUCAUUAGUAUCUGACCUCACUAAUGCUUUUGUCGCAGUCACGUCCUCUAAGCAAGUUUCCAGCAUGUAUUACAGAGCCUACGAAAGAAAAGAGAGAUAAACUCCCUGAUUUUACCCUUCGUUUUGGAAGAAACUGGACGGGAUGAGAAGGGUCCUGUGUGUACUGUGAAUAUGUCAUAGAAGGCAUUGUAGUGCAGUGAGUGACCAGUGACAACUGUCAAGAAUUGUCUGUGUGAAAAGACAAGCAUCUCUAGCAGCAGAAAUUACAUCCACAUUUAAUGCAGGAGGCCUUCAGAUCGGGGAACUGCUAUACAAGCUGGUGAGAGCGCGAGCGAGCGAGCGCGCUUUAACAUCCCCGCGCGCGCUCGUGUGUCUCCAGUGCGCCACCGGACUGAAGUCGCUGGUGGAGAGGAGCAGCAGAUACGCGCUAUUUUCCUGCACUUUCUCACUAAAAUAACACAUAAUAACAUUUAAGCCCAAAACAAUAUUUUUAAAUAUUUAAAUAAACAUACAAAUAAAUAAAGUAAAAAAUGACGUCAUUUUAAUUGCAUUCUAAGUCUAAUGUAUAAAACACAAUUCUAUGAAUACAACAGUAUUUUACACAUGAUUUAUUUAAAAAUGCAACAGCAGAUUUAGACGAUGACAACAGUAUACUCAAAAUAUAUCUGCAACUCUUAUAGACUAUUAUUACUUUUAUUUUUUUUUAUAUAAUUGUUCCUAUAACAAGAAUAUGGGUAUUAUAGAAUUAUACAACAUUGCAGCUUUAGAGUCUUAGCCUAAGAGUGGUUUAUAGAUAAUUAAUAAGAAAUUGUAUCAGGUAUGAGGCAUCGAGUAGGCUAAAAUAUGCUCUGAAGCUAAGUUUGAUGGUGUUCAAAUUUUUUUUUCAGUUUGCAAUACACCUGCUGCACAACUUUUUAUAAAAGUCGUUCUCCGUUUUAUUAUUAUUUUAUUAUUAGUUGUUCUUAUUGUUAUUCAUAUUUUGUUAGUAACUACCUAUUUUUUAGUAACGUUUACUAAUAAAAAAACAUACAUUUUAAUAAAACUGCAUGCAUUUUUAGCCAUUCCAAAAUAGCUAGCGACCAAAGAACGCCCAUAUGUUCUGAACUGUGAGCAGAGUUCAAAUAAUUGUACGUAAAUUUAGAUUAGACUAUAAAAGGACGCGAUACAGAAUAAAGUGCAUCUCGGUUUUUUCCCUUCAGACUGAUCUCUCUUUCACACACUCACUCUUUCAGUCAUUCUUCACCUGCAGGUGUAUUUAAGAUGGAAGAGUCGGUUUCUUCCUCGAGACUUCCCUCGUUUCAGACUAAAAAGUCGAAAGAGCUUCCCUCUGAUCUGCUGACAUAACUUUUUAUUUUUAUUUUUAUUGUGCUGCGCAGUUUUGGUUUUUAACUUGGGGUUUAUCUAAUUUGUUCUACUGCUUACACAACAAUACACUAGUAUAUACGUACUAUAAAAUACAAUCUAUAUCAACAUAAGCAGGAUCUUCUGUUUUAGACAGAUCUGUAAUAAUACAAGCAAAAGAAUCCAAUCUUAACAGCAGUGUAUUCCCCUUUAGUGCUGCAGUAAUAAGAGUGCGAGUAAAUCACCUUAAAAGCUUUAUUUAAACACUCCUGUCCACCUCUUAUCAACACUCACUACACACAGCCUUUCUCUUCUACAGCUUAAAAUAAAUAAAGCAUUAAUAAUCACGCCCCUUAACACCUAUAACUAGUGCAUUUAAGCAUUAUGGCCUAGUCCUUAUCUUAACAAUCCCUUUAUUAGCACUUAUUAAAUUACCUUAAUUAUUGUAAUUAUCUUAAAUAUUAUUUUUGCACUAAUUUACCUAAAACAGGCUUUCAAUAGGUGCUGGCUAUUUUAAGCGAGUUAACAACUGUCAACCCAGGCAUUAAACGUGAAUAUGGCUUAUGUUUUGUCAGGGUGCAGUAGCCUAAAACUAUCAAUGUGAUUGCCCAUGUCUUCAAUAUGUGUGUGAGUGUGUGCUGGAGUGUGUGUGAGUGUGUGUUUGCUAUAUUUGGUCUGCUGCACGCGCAUUUUGAUGCCGGGCUGCUCCUCAUUAGUCCUGUGUUUUGUCUGCGUUGUCACCUCGCAGCUUCAAGGCGAAUGGGGGUCUGACUGUCUUGGGGGGGAUCAGCUCUCAGACUUCCUCUCUUUUCUUUCUUUCUUUCCCUCCCUCUGAACUUCAGACUCUCGGAUUCUGAUUUAACAUCGCUGGGAUGGGGGACAGAUUCGCCCAAGAACGGAGAUUUAUCCUGGAGACUGUUUUAUAGUCUCUAAGAUUUAACCCCAUUAUUAUCUCUCUCAUAUUUACCUUGAUAAUGAAUUGCUGAUCAAUAUAAGCAUAUAGCUAUAACUUUACAACAAGCCAGCAGUUCAAAAGACAAUAUGCAGCUAUAUAAACGUUAUAUUGUAAACUGACAGCUUGAUGAAAGCAGCAUUUUUAUGUAAAUAUGUAAAAUUAGCUUAAAUUAGAAAAAAAAACAUUUAAAGAGAAAUAUCUGUAAUAAAUGUCCUGUUAGAACAUGCAGUAAAGCGUAUUAGACUAAAUCAAUCUAAGCGUUAAUACUGUGCUUAGAUAAACGGCCAAACUGUGCUUAGAUAGGCUACCUAACACAUAACACAUAAACUUCUCCACAAAAACUCACUCAGACUAACAAGUCUGAUUUAAAGCACAUUCGCAGCAUUUGUUUGUGAAUUAAAACUAAAACACUAUUUAUCCAUCCAGGAUUAUUUAAUUUAAGAUUAGUAUUAAGCUGUGGUGAUGUAUUUUCUGAUUUAAUACUACAAACUGCUGUAACAAGCGCUCAAAAUAUAAAUAAACCCCCAAACACUCACUUUUACACAGUUUUUUAUCUUAUGUUCACUUCAUUUAGCUAUAACUAGGUAACACAUUUCAUCUUAUACUCGGACAGCCGUUUAUAUAAUAGACAGCAGUAAGAUCUACUUUCUCUCUGUCUGUCUGUCUGUCUCUCUCAGAGCAGAGCACCGGGUCAUUCACACACACUUUCUCUGCAGUCACCCGUGAGGAGAUGAAUGUGUUUCCAGCGGAUCUUUCCGGGCUAAUUUCAGCGAUUUAAAACUCUCCACUAAGCUAAACAGAAGAUUCAGCCGCCGUUAAGUCUCAGGAAACCUGUCUCUUGACAGGAGAGUUGACCUUUUUGUGCCAUGCUGACCUUCUAGACGUUCACUGUCACAUCAGCUAAAUAAUUCACAAUCCUAAUUUUUACAUGUAGGCCUAUAAAUCACACUUUAAGCGUAGCAUAAAAAAUAUUAUUUAGAAUUAAAACACAUGGGCACUUUUACCACACGGUCUCUAAAAAAUAUAUAUAUAGAAAAUAGAUUGCCAAAAAAAACACGAUUAACUUCUAUAUUAUGAUCUUAUGAAUCACUAAGAGUUUUAAUCAUUCUUUUCACAUGGUGUCUAAAAAGGUUUUUUUUUUUGGUACAGAUUUCUUGGUUAACAAAAAAAAAGUUUGUUAGCAAUCUAGUUCAACAAGUUAGUUUUGUAAAAAUCACAUGAGCUAGCCAACUUAACUAA
Molecule: long non-coding RNA, 3964 nt
Organism: Astyanax mexicanus (Mexican tetra)
Lineage: Eukaryota; Metazoa; Chordata; Actinopteri; Characiformes; Acestrorhamphidae
Exons: 3
Source: RefSeq, a predicted model, not a curated record